Molecule: long non-coding RNA, 906 nt
Filed under: Lactuca sativa (garden lettuce)
Lineage: Eukaryota; Viridiplantae; Streptophyta; Magnoliopsida; Asterales; Asteraceae
Description: long non-coding RNA (LSAT_LNC009718)
Source: RNAcentral
UCAUUGGUGAUCAAGGAAAGGUGCAGGGCGAGAUAAUGCAUGUGGUAUAUGUCUGAGAGAAGGAUGGGUGUCUCCACGGCGGGUGGUCAAUGGUCAGGAAUCUGGUGGUGGUCAGAGUCGUCUCAAGUGGAAGACUCGUAAUGAUGGUAUGGGCAGUUGAGAACUUCUGGGUUGAAAUAUGGGUAGAAGAUUGUCGAGUAGCCAACUCCCGGGCUGGGAUGUGUAUUCUUGCUUGGAUUUUGAGCAGUAGUGGAAAGGGUUUCGGAGGAUCAUCAGUGUGUUCUGAAGGGUUAGCGCCUUCCUUGUAUUCCAAUUGAGUGUUUGGAUGCACUGAAGUUGCGCAUUGAGUGAAAUAGGAAAUUAUUAUGGGAUUCAGAGGAAAUGUAUUGUUGUAUGUGUAUGGUGCUGGGANAGAUUUGUGCAAGAGCGGUUAGGGGUUGGAUACAGAAACCUGCGGCUUGAAUUCAUGAGAUCAGGGUCAUUGGUGAUCAAGGAAAGGUGCAGGGCGAGAUAAUGCAUGUGGUAUAUGUCUGAGAGAAGGAUGGGUGUCUCCACGGCGGGUGGUCAAUGGUCAGGAAUCUGGUGGUGGUCAGAGUCGUUUCAAGUAGAAGACUCGUAAUGAUGGUAUGGGCAGUUGAGAACUUCUGGGUUGAAAUAUGGGUAGAAGAUUGUCGAGUAGCCAGCUCCCGGGUUGGGAUGUGUAUUCUCGCUUGGAUCUUGAGCAGUAGUGGAAAGGGUUUCGGAAGAUCAUCAGUCUGUUCUGAAGGGUUAGCGUCUUCCUUGUAUUCGAAUUGAGUGUUUGGAUGCACUGAAGUUGCGCAUCGAGUGAUAUAAGAAAUUAUUAUGGGAUUCAGAGGAAAUGUAUUGUUGUAUGUGUAUGGUGCUGGAAGUAAGGGAAUCAGUGGU